Lipotes vexillifer (Yangtze River dolphin) is the source of this 2720-nucleotide RNA transcript. It is a transcript of the gene named signal transducer and activator of transcription 2, with no coding region annotated. The record is from RefSeq and is a predicted model, not a curated record. The transcript is spliced from 25 exons. NCBI's taxonomy places the organism in Eukaryota, Metazoa, Chordata, Mammalia, Artiodactyla, Lipotidae.
CCACAGCUACUGGAGGGAGCGGGGGCUGAGACUCUAACCAGGCUCAGACCCCAAAUGGCGCAGUGGGAGAUGCUGCAGAAUCUUGACAGCCCAUUUCAGGAUCAGCUGCACCAGCUCUAUUCAAAUAGCCUCCUGCCGGUGGACAUUCGACAGUACUUGUCUGUCUGGAUUGAAGAUCAGAACUGGCAGGAAGCUGCACUGGGCAAUGAUGAGGCCAAGGCUAAUAUGCUAUUCUUCCACUUCUUGGACCAACUGAACUAUGAGUGUAGCCGCUGCAGCCAGGACCCUGAGUGUUUGUUGCUACAGCACAACUUGCGAAAAUUCUAUCGGGACAUUCAGGCCUUUCCCCAGGGUGCUACCCAAUUGGCUGAGAUGAUCUUUAAUCUCCUUCUGGAAGAAAAAAGAAUUCUGACCCAGGCUCAGAGGGCUCAGUCGGAGCAAGGAGAACCAGCCCUUGCAGCACCUGGGGAGAGCCAGCAGCCUGAGAUUGAAUCCCGGAUCCUGGAAUUAAAGGCUAUGAUGGAGAAGCUGGUGAAAUCCAUCAGCCAACUGAAAGACCAGCAGGAUGUCUUCUGCUUCCGAUAUAAGAUCCAGACCUCAGCAAGGACACCCUCUUUGGACCCUCAUCAGACCAGACAGCAGGACAUUCUGCAGGAAACGCUCAAUGAACUGGACAGAAGGAGAAAGGAGGUGCUAGAUGCCUCCAAAGCACUGCUAGGCCGAUUAACUACCCUAAUUGAGCUACUGCUGCCCAAGUUGGAGGAGUGGAAAGUUCAGCAGCAGAAAGCCUGCAUUGGAGGCCCCCCGGAUGGAGGGUUGGAGCAGUUGGAGAAGUGGUUCACAGCUGGAUCAAAGCUGUUGUUUCAUCUGCGGCAGCUGCUGAAGGAGCUAAAGGGAUUGAGUCACAUGGUCACCUAUCAGGGGGACCCUCUGAUCGAAGGGGUGGAUCUGCGGAAGGCCCAGGUCACAGAGCUGCUACAUCGCCUGCUCCACAGAGCCUUUGUAGUAGAAACCCAGCCCUGCAUGCCCCAAACUCCCCAUCGACCCCUCAUCCUCAAGACUGGGAGCAAGUUCACCGUCCGAACAAGGCUGCUGGUGAGACUCCAGGAAGGCAAUGAGUCACUGACUGCAGAAGUCUCCAUUGAUAGAAAUCCUCCUGAAUCACAAGGCUUCCGGAAGUUCAACAUUCUGACUUCAAACCGGAAAACUUUGACUCCUGAGAAAGGGCAGAGUCAGGGCUUAAUUUGGGACUUCGGCUACCUGACACUGAUGGAGCAGCGUUCAGGUAGUUCAGGAAAGGGCAGCAAUAAGGGGCUGCUAGCCGUGACAGAGGAACUGCACAUUAUCAGCUUCACAGUCAGAUACACCUACCAGGGUCUGAAGCAGGAACUGAAAACAGACACCCUUCCUGUGGUGAUUAUUUCUAACAUGAACCAACUCUCAGUUGCCUGGGCCUCGGUUCUCUGGUUCAAUCUGCUCAGCUCAGACCCCCAGAAUCAGCAGUUCUUCUCCAGCCCCGCCAAGGCCCCCUGGGACUUGCUGGGUCCUGCUCUCAGUUGGCAGUUCUCCUCCUACGUUGGCCGAGGCCUCGACUCAGACCAGCUUGGCAUGCUGCGGGACAAGCUGUUUGGGCAGAACUCCAAGACUGAGGGUGCCUUGUUGUCCUGGGUCAAUUUCAUUAAGCGAGAGAGCCCCCCCGGCAAGCUACCAUUCUGGACAUGGCUCGACAGAAUUCUGGACCUGGUACAUGACCACCUGAAGGAUCUCUGGAACGAUGGACACAUCAUGGGCUUUGUAAGCCGGAGCCAGGAGCGCCGGCUGCUGAAGAAGACCAUCUCUGGCACCUUUCUGCUGCGCUUCAGUGAAACGUUGGAAGGGGGCAUUACCUGCUCCUGGGUGGAACACCAAGAUGAUGAUAAGGUGCUCAUCUACUCUGUGCAGCCCUUCACCAAGGAGGUGCUGCAGUCACUCCCGCUGACGAAAAUCAUCAGCCAGUAUCAGCUGCUCACUGAGGAGAACAUACCUGAGAACCCACUGUGCUUCCUCUACCCACGAAUCCCCCGGGAUGAGGCUUUUGGGUGCUACUCCCAGGAGAAAGUUAAUCUCCAGGAACGGAAGAAAUACCUGAAACAUAAGCUCAUUGUGGUCUCUAACAGACAGGUGGAUGAGCUGCAACAACUGCCAGAGCUUAAGCUGGAGCCAGAACUGGAGUCAUUCGAGCUGGAUCUGGGGCUGGCACCAGGGCCAGAGCCAGGGCCGGGCCUGGACUUAGAGCCACUGCUGGAGGCAGGGCUGGAUUUGGGGCCAGCACUGGACCCACACUGGAGUCCACUCUGGAGCCCGUGCUGGAGCCCACACUAGGCGAGGUGUCACAGAGAGUCUCAGAGCCAAACCUGGGACCAGGACUGAAGCUGGAGCCUAUUCCAGAGCCUAUUUCACAGCCACUGCCAGAGCCGGAUUUGCCCCAUGAUCUGAGACACUUGAACAUUGAGGACAUGGAAGUCUUCAGAAACAGCAUGAAGAUUGAAGAAAUCAUGCCAAAUGGUGACCCACUGUUGGCUGGCCAAAACACCGUGGAUGAAGCUUACGUCUUCCCUCGCAGCCAUUUCUACACAGAUGGGCCCUUGAUUCCUUCUGACUACUAGAAACUACAUUUUCUCUGUUCUUUCCAUAUAUUUUGCCCCUCCUACCUCUCACAUCAUGAUGUUGCUCUCCAAGGA